This 115-nucleotide ribosomal RNA is filed under the name Escherichia coli. The record is from RNAcentral. Lineage: Bacteria; Pseudomonadati; Pseudomonadota; Gammaproteobacteria; Enterobacterales; Enterobacteriaceae.
UCUGGCGGCAGUAGGCGGUGGUCCCACCUGACCCCAUGCCGAACUCAGAAGUGAAACGCCGUAGCGCCGAUGGUAGUGUGGGGUCUCCCCAUGCGAGAGUAGGGAACUGCCAGAC